This 3884-nucleotide long non-coding RNA is filed under the name Capsicum annuum. RNAcentral describes it as "long non-coding RNA (CANN_LNC022463)". The record is from RNAcentral. Lineage: Eukaryota; Viridiplantae; Streptophyta; Magnoliopsida; Solanales; Solanaceae.
AACAACAAACAAAGCCAGCAACCAUGAUUAUACACAACAUAGCUAUACGGCUAAAAUGCUACAGCAGCAUCGCUUAGAAGAAUAAAGAAAAAGAAGAACGCAUUUUGAAACCAAAAGAGAUGAAGGGUUACCUGCUUCGGGGCAGCAAAACAGGACUCCCAAGCUAAUAUUAGACUCCAACACCACCGAAAAUCGGACCCUCUAGAAUGAUGAGUAAUUGACAACUCGAAAUAAACUUAUUGGAAAAUCAAAGUUUUACUGCGUUUUCUUCUUCCCCUCCCAGACCCUAAAGAAACAUGUUUCCAACCUAGAUUUAAACAGUAACCCCUUUCCCAAAGAAAGAUCUCCCCAAGCUUCUAACUCCAGAAACUUUUAUUCAAAUUUUCGAACCGUCGCCUCUUCGAGAAAAGAACCCCCAGAAAACCUCUCCAAAUCCCUUACUUUGAAUCAAAAUCGACCCAAACCCUAAAUUUCUCCACUCUUAGAACCUUAGAGCUCCCAGAAAAAUCCUCCUCUUCAGACCCUAAAGAGAGCUAUUUAUAGAAGGGGGGGUUGAGGGUUCGUUUUGAAUCCUCACAAAUCGCACCCCUAUUGUUCUUCUUGAACGGAUUUUCAACAGAUGGCCAACAACCAUUGGGGCAAAAUGAACGAAUGAAAAUUUGCCGAACAGGUAUGAAUCCGAAAAUCACGGAAUUCGGACGUUGGGGGUAACACCUCACUCUCUUUCUAGAAGAUUUCGUACCAAAAUCAUGUGGGAAAGCACGCGACUGUGAAGAGGAAGCAGAAAACGGGUUGAGAUAAGGGGAAUCGGGGGGGAAAUAGGUUGGGGUUUUGCAUGGUUGUUUUCGCAUUGCUGUUGGUGUAGCUUGUACGCGGUUUUUGUCGUGGCUGUUGUUUGUUUUUGGUGAGCUAUAAGCAGCUUUUGCUUAUUGAAGAAGAAAGGAUUAAAUGGUGUGGGCCGGGUAGGUUUUGUAGAUGUUUGUGCUGUUGAAAUUCGGGGCUAAUUUGGCAAAGUCAAAAGGAAAUUGGGCUUGGGCUUGUUAAUUUGAAGAGUGGCUUGGCAAUUUAAAAACUGAAAUUGAGGUUAUUAUAACACACCAAUUUGGCCUGAAAAUGCCCCGUUUAUGCCGUUUUACCCAUUUGACUACCCAAAAUAUCCUUGAAUAAAUAAAAAAAACCACACUGCGACGAUCCCCAACCUCUCUGGCAUACCCCGGUUGAUUUUUGGCCCACGUCACCCCCAAACCCUAGGCUACCCCCGAAGUCGUAGGCUUUAGCUUGAAUACACCCGUUUGCAUCGUUUGACCACCCAAAUGGCCUCGAAUAAAUAAACGAACCCUGGCAUCCUCAGUCAAUUCUUCACCCACGACACCUAUUUUGCGGAGAAAUUUUGACUUUUUGAGAAGAGUUACCACUUAAUUUUAAAAAAAAAUUAAGAAACCUGUAAAGAGUUACUUCAAACGAUCUAAAACCAAAAAAUCAUUUAAGUUAAGAGAUUCUGAAUAAGCGGUUCUUAUUAACGUUUUAGGAAGGUGUUAGGCACCUAAAAUGUCUUCGAUUAACUUCUGAAAUUUGAUUCAUUGAAAAAUGGUUGGUUUGCAAAAAAUUAAGUUUUAGCAAAUUCAUUAGGGGAUUUAACUAGGUUCGUAAAAGGCAUGCAAAACAAAUAAUCAAAAAGAAAGGGGAAGAGAGGAGAAGUAAUGAUUUAGGAUUUGAAGCCCAAACUAUUAAGCCUGUCCUAAUCUAGUUGGGUUUUCAACCUAUUUUUCCUCUCACCUGUCCUAUUUCUAUGUUUUCUGGCCCUUUGGCUCGAGUUUUCACUUUACCUGUAUUAAAUACAACUUUGGCUUCGAGGCCCAAAUGAAUGAAAAAUGAAUAAACAAAAUAAAAUAAAUAAUAAAUAAUAAAAAAACAACAACACUAAUUAAACAAAAUGAAAUAAUAAAUGAGACUUUUGUCACUUAGCCGCUUCAAAUACGGGACUUUAACCCGUUCCUUUUCUUUCGACUCUUUGUAUUUGCGCGCUAUUUAUCCGGCUUUGGGCUCUUUUUCUGGAUUGACCCAACAAGAUGGGCCUCACUGGCCCAUGAUGAAUGUGCAAGAGGGAGAGAGUUCAUGUAGGACUCAGUCGAAAGUAGGAGAGAUUAAUGUGCAGGCCCGAAGCGCAGUACACCAUACAGAUAUCCAACACAACAAAUCAAUAACAAAAGACAUGGAAUUAUUGUAAUUUUAAACAACAUAGCAAAUAGUAUGCAAAAGUAUAGAAAGUAAAAGAAACGCAAUUAUGGCUAGCACCAAUAUAUAAAUGAAACAUUUAAGACUACAUUUGUAAGAAUACUCAUAAACAGGAAUAAGCAAAUAAGGAGACGUACAAUAGAAUUGGGAAUUUAAAAUAAAUCUCUUAAGCGACCUAUUCAUAACACUAGUUGGGGAAAGAGCCAUUCUUUUCAGAGAGAUAAACCAGAGCCCCUCCCUGUACAAUUUCUUCAAAAAGGAUACAACUCCUAAACAUACCAUACCAAAAAUCGGAUAGCUUGGAACAGCGAACAACGAAAUACAAUAAUGACUUACUUAAGAAAGAGUGAAUGAAACUUGACAUAAGAGUUGUUCAAACAAGCCAAGACUCAAUAAGUUUGGAAGUUGAAGAAUAAGCAUAUUUGCACUACAGUGAGCAAGUAAGUAGCAGACCCCUGAGCAGCUAAGAAGGUCUUAAUAAUUAUCAAUCGAAUCGAAACAUGAAACUUUAAUCACAAAAGUCAGGUAAAAAAAAAUAAUUCCAACAGCCUGAAACUUUAAACACGAAACCAACUUCAGUAGGAUACUAGCGAUCCGAAACAGAUCGAAGAACCUAAGACCUUAGCUAACAAACCCGCGUUAACAAGAUACCAGUUAUUCCAAACAACAAUCAGAAGCACGAACUUCACAAAAAUGUAUGGUCUUUAAGACCUCAACAACCAACAACGCCAGCAACCACGAUUAUACACAACAUAGCUAUACGGCUAAAAUGCUACAGCAGCAUCGCUUAGAAGAAUAAAGAAAAAGAAGAACGCAUUUUGAAACCAAAAGAGAUGAAGGGUUACCUGCUUCGGGGCAGCAAAACAGGACUCCCAAGCUAAUAUUAGACUCCAACACCACCGAAAAUCGGACCCUCUAGAAUGAUGAGUAAUUGACAACUCGAAAUAAACUUAUUGGAAAAUCAAAGUUUUACUGCGUUUUCUUCUUCCCCUCCCAGACCCUAAAGAAACAUGUUUCCAACCUAGAUUUAAACAGUAACCCCUUUCCCAAAGAAAGAUCUCCCCAAGCUUCUAACUCCAGAAACUUUUAUUCAAAUUUUCGAACCGUCGCCUCUUCGAGAAAAGAACCCCCAGAAAACCUCUCCAAAUCCCUUACUUUGAAUCAAAAUCGACCCAAACCCUAAAUUUCUCCACUCUUAGAACCUUAGAGCUCCCAGAAAAAUCCUCCUCUUCAGACCCUAAAGAGAGCUAUUUAUAGAAGGGGGGGUUGAGGGUUCGUUUUGAAUCCUCACAAAUCGCACCCCUAUUGUUCUUCUUGAACGGAUUUUCAACAGAUGGCCAACAACCAUUGGGGCAAAAUGAACGAAUGAAAAUUUGCCGAACAGGUAUGAAUCCGAAAAUCACGGAAUUCGGACGUUGGGGGUAACACCUCACUCUCUUUCUAGAAGAUUUCGUACCAAAAUCAUGUGGGAAAGCACGCGACUGUGAAGAGGAAGCAGAAAACGGGUUGAGAUAAGGGGAAUCGGGGGGGAAAUAGGUUGGGGUUUUGCAUGGUUGUUUUCGCAUUGCUGUUGGUGUAGCUUGUACGCGGUUUUUGUCGUGGCUGUUGUUUGUUUUUGGUGAGCUAUAAGCAGCUUUUGCUUAUUGAAG